GCGGCGUGCCUAACACAUGCAAGUACGAGCGAAGCGAUUUCGUAGGAAGUUUUCGGUAUGGAAGUUGGUAAGUUGACUGAGCGGCGGACGGGUGGAGUAACGCGUGGGUAACCGUGCCUCAUACAGGGGGAUAACAGUUAGAAAUGACUGCUAAUACCGCAUAAGCGCACAGGACCGCAUGGUCUGGUGUGAAAAACUCCGGUGGUAUGAGAUGGACCCGCGUCUGAUUAGCUGGUUGGUGGGGUAACGGCCUACCAAGGCGACGAUCAGUAGCCGACCUGAGAGGGUGACCGGCCACAUUGGGACUGAGACACGGCCCAAACUCCUACGGGAGGCAGCAGUGGGGAAUAUUGCACAAUGGGGGAAACCCUGAUGCAGCGACGCCGCGUGAGCGAAGAAGUAUUUCGGUAUGUAAAGCUCUAUCAGCAGGGAAGAAAAAUGACGGUACCUGACUAAGAAGCCCCGGCUAACUACGUGCC
This 479-nucleotide ribosomal RNA is filed under the name uncultured bacterium. RNAcentral describes it as "bacterial SSU rRNA". It matches the Rfam family "Bacterial small subunit ribosomal RNA", at positions 39 to 509 of the family's 1533-position model. The record is from RNAcentral.